UAAACGACUCUCGGCAACGGAUAUCUGGGCUCUCGCAUCGAUGAAGAACGCAGCGAAAUGCGAUACUUGGUGUGAAUUGCAGAAUCCCGUGAACCAUCGAGUCUUUGAACGCAAGUUGCGCCCGAAGCCAUUAGGCUGAGGGCACGUCUGCCUGGGCGU
Molecule: ribosomal RNA, 159 nt
Filed under: Achimenes pedunculata
Lineage: Eukaryota; Viridiplantae; Streptophyta; Magnoliopsida; Lamiales; Gesneriaceae
Description: 5.8S ribosomal RNA
Rfam family: 5.8S ribosomal RNA
About the family: 5.8S ribosomal RNA (5.8S rRNA) is a component of the large subunit of the eukaryotic ribosome. It is transcribed by RNA polymerase I as part of the 45S precursor that also contains 18S and 28S rRNA.
Source: RNAcentral